CAGGAUUAGAUACCCUGGUAGUCCACGCCGUAAACGAUGUCGACUUGGAGGUUGUUCCCUUGAGGAGUGGCUUCCGGAGCUAACGCGUUAAGUCGACCGCCUGGGGAGUACGGCCGCAAGGUUAAAACUCAAAUGAAUUGACGGGGGCCCGCACAAGCGGUGGAGCAUGUGGUUUAAUUCGAUGCAACGCGAAGAACCUUACCUACUCUUGACAUCCAGAGAACUUAGCAGAGAUGCUUUGGUGCCUUCGGGAACUCUGAGACAGGUGCUGCAUGGCUGUCGUCAGCUCGUGUUGUGAAAUGUUGGGUUAAGUCCCGCAACGAGCGCAACCCUUAUCCUUUGUUGCCAGCGAUUCGGUCGGGAACUCAAAGGAGACUGCCGGUGAUAAACCGGAGGAAGGUGGGGAUGACGUCAAGUCAUCAUGGCCCUUACGAGUAGGGCUACACACGUGCUACAAUGGCGCAUACAAAGAGAAGCGACCUCGCGAGAGCAAGCGGACCUCAUAAAGUGCGUCGUAGUCCGGAUCGGAGUCUGCAACUCGACUCCGUGAAGUCGGAAUCGCUAGUAAUCGUGGAUCAGAAUGCCACGGUGAAUACGUUCCCGGGCCUUGUACACACCGCCCGUCACACCAUGGGAGUGGGUUGCAAAAGAAGUAGGUAGCUUAACCUUCGGGAGGGCGCUUACCACUUUGUGAUUCAUGACUGGGGUGAAGUCGUAACAAGGUAAC
Molecule: ribosomal RNA, 727 nt
Filed under: Pantoea sp.
Lineage: Bacteria; Pseudomonadati; Pseudomonadota; Gammaproteobacteria; Enterobacterales; Erwiniaceae
Description: bacterial SSU rRNA
Rfam family: Bacterial small subunit ribosomal RNA
Source: RNAcentral